GACGAACGCUGGCGGCGUGCUUAACACAUGCAAGUCGAACGAUGAAACCUAGCUUGCUAGGUCGAUUAGUGGCGAACGGGUGAGUAACACGUGACUAACCUGCCCCUUUCUCUGGGAUAACGCUCCGAAAGGAGUGCUAAUACCGGAUACUCACAUCGAGGCACAUGCCUUGAUGUGGAAAGUUUUUCGGAAAGGGAUGGAGUCGCGGCCUAUCAGCUUGUUGGUGAGGUAACGGCUCGCCAAGGCGACGACGGGUAGCCGGCCUGAGAGGGCGACCGGCCACACUGGGACUGAGACACGGCCCAGACUCCUACGGGAGGCAGCAGUGGGGAAUAUUGCACAAUGGGCGCAAGCCUGAUGCAGCGACGCCGCGUGAGGGAUGAAGGUCUUCGGAUUGUAAAUCUCUUUCAGUAGGGACGAAGCGAAAGUGACGGUACCUAAAGAAGAAGCACCGGCUAACUACGUGCCAGCCGCCGCGGUAA
Molecule: ribosomal RNA, 482 nt
Filed under: uncultured bacterium
Lineage: Bacteria
Description: partial 16S ribosomal RNA
Rfam family: Bacterial small subunit ribosomal RNA
Source: RNAcentral